Callithrix jacchus (white-tufted-ear marmoset) is the source of this 3535-nucleotide long non-coding RNA. RefSeq lists it as uncharacterized. The record is from RefSeq and is a predicted model, not a curated record. Lineage: Eukaryota; Metazoa; Chordata; Mammalia; Primates; Cebidae.
UAUUAGAAGAUGCAACAAACCUGGCCUAAGAAGAUGGAAGAAAGAAAGUGGUUCCACGUGGCUGGCAACCAGAGAGCAAUGGCAAAACCUGAGUUCACAUGAAAAGAAAGGUGUUGCAAGCAUGGUGAGGAGGAAGUUGUGUGGGAUAGAAAAGGCCUGGGGGAAAUGGUGCCUUCAGGCCACCUAUCACAUGCCUCAAACUCCAAAGAAUGUGAACAACAGGACAACAGGAAAAUAGAUUUGCCCUCUCCCCACUGUCAUAUGUGUGACAGUAGAAAGCUGCAGAUUUGAGUCAGAAACUGAUGGAGUCUCACUCUGUCACCCAGGCUGGAACGCAGUGGCAUGAUCGUGGCUCACUGCAACCUCCACCCCCCAGGUUCAAGCAAUUCUUCUGCCUCAGUCUCCCGGGUAGCUGGGACUAUAGGCUGCAUAGAAAGUAUGGUUGGAAGGACUCCAGAAACUUACAAUGAUAGCAGAAGGCAAAGAAGAAGCAGGUACAUCCUACAUGGAAGGAGCAGGAGGAAGAGAGAGAAGAGGUGGGUGCUACAUACCUUUAAACAGCAAGCUUUCAUGAGAAUUUACUCACUAUCAUGAGAACAGAAAGAGGGAAACCGGUCCCGGUGAUACAAUCACCUCUCACCAGGCCCCUCCUCCAACAUUAGAGACUACAAUUUGAUAUGAUAUGGUAGGGACACAGAUCCAAACUAUAGCAUUAACUGACAGAAAAUACAGGUAGAGUCUAAGGUCUGGGGAGAAGGUGAGUGCAGUUUUGGGAAGUUGCCCAGCUAUCUAUUUUGUAAACUAAGGGGGGCAUAUUGCAUGUAGAAAUGUUUACUCCUUUAUCCUUUGGGAAGAGUAAUACAUUCAAAACAUGCUAUAUUUAAAAAGGACUCCUCAGGGUGACCAACUUUAUGGUAGAGGUUGUUAGGUAAUAUAUUUCUCCUUCAUAAAAGUGGAAAAAUAAACUUAGUGGCACAAAACUACCACCAAUUUACUAUGUUUAUGGAUUCUGUGGAUUAAGAAGUUGGACAGGGGUGAUUUAUGUCUCUUCUACAAUAUCUAAGGUUUUGGUUGGAAAGAGUCAUACGGCUGGGGGCUGGUGGAAUAACUUGGAGAUUGCUUCACUCACUGCUGGAGCAUUGGUGGAGAGGGCUGGAAGGCUGGCUUUGGCACUAUAGAAUGUCUAGCAGCAUUCCUUGCCUCUAGCCACUAGAUACAAAUAGCAUCCCACCCACCUAGCAGUAACAAUUAAAGUGUCUCCCUGACACUGCCAAAUUUAUUCUGUGCAACAACUGUCUCCUGUGGUUGAGGUCAGUGGAUAAUAUGAGUGUGAAUCUUAGCCAGGACUGGAAAGAGAUUUUUCAAGUCAUCAGUGUGUAGGUGGUCUUUAGAGUCACUGCAGUAUAUGAGAUGUCUCAGGAUGUCGGGUGAGAAGAUCAGCUCUUCAGGGUUAGAAGAAUGGACCCAUAUUGAAGGGGUUGAGGAAAAGAAGAUAAAAUGUUAAGAAAAAUGAAAAAGAAAAAUCAAGCGAGAAAGCAGGAAAACCAAGAAAGACAGGAAAGAGUGGUGCAGUGGCUAUUCCAAGUAUCUGCCUAGCAUCCUAGCUCCACUUUCUUCUUAGAGAAGCUCAGUCUCUUGUCCACAAUGACCGAUGAUUUUAUCCAUGGACCUAUACAAGCCAGGCCAUUGAGUCCUUCCUGUAAUUUUAUAUUUUAAGCCACAGAGCAAGGGGUUUUCUCCUCUGUGCUUAUUUGAAACUAUGUAAAUCCAGAAGUGCCUAUGGUGCGCUCCCUGCCACAUGGCAAAGGUUCAGCUGAGUGGGUUUGCAGAUGCCAUGAGUUGAAAAUGACCACCUGACCCUUGCAGCUCAGGAAAAGCCUCUUAAAGGAAGCUGGUGGAAGCAUUAAUGCCCAAAGAAGAUUUCUUGGGCUCCAAAGACAUCUUUACUUGGUAAAGUUAUCUCAGGAUUUUGUCAGCUAGAGCUCUGUGAAACUGCCAAAGACCAGGAAACCUGCACCAGAAGCAUCCCUUCCAUGUUGUCUGUCUUGCUUCUGACUUCUGAGCUAAAUAAGCCAUGAAACUGUGCCAAAUAUGCACAUACACAGUCUGUGAGCUGUGUGGGGGUUUGUUCAGAAGCAAGCAACACAACACACUAUAUUGUACAAGUGUGUUACAGUUUCAUCUACAGUAGACGAUAAUGAAACCAGCAGCAGAAGCAAAGCAGAGAGCUAAGAAAGACCAACUUUUUGGUAGCAUUUAAGCCCCUGGAUCCAAUCACCCAUGAAGCUUCAGAUCCAGCAGUGACCUUCCAGUUAUGUGAAUCAAUGAAUGCUCUUAAGUGGAAUAUCUUUCUGUUGCAAAUGCAAGUGUCCUAACACAGAAACUUAAACCAGAUGUGAAGUGAUAAACCUAAAAUGUGGAACUGGUUGAAUCAAGACAGGGAAGGUUGAAAAGCUGUAAUCCUUGUUAUAUGAAAGUGAAGCAGCUGCUACCUAGUGUAUUUUAUGCCUCAGGUCAUGCCCCCACCACCAUAAUGGCAACAACAUUAUGGACUUGGUCAAAAGGUUAUGGGAGUGAGAACUGAGACAGGCAUAUGCCCAGAGCCCUCCCAAACACCUCUGCUUCUGCAGUCAUAAGGCUCAUAAUCCUGCCCCAUAAUCAGCCUUGAUGCCUCCUGGUGAUGAAAAGCAGCUCCCAAUGGUUCCAUUUUUCUAAGAGGUGGAAAAAAGGAUAGUUGAUGUUCAUCUAAAGCCCAGGGGAAUGGAUGAUUCCUGCAAUUAUUGCUAAAGGACUGAAACCACGAGGGCAGGGAUCCAGACUGAGAGAUGCUGACUCAACAAGAUUUUUUGGCACUUAUAACUAGCCAAUAUCACUAGCCACCCAAAAAUAUAGUCAGGCCAGUGACUGAGUGUUUCAAGUGAACUUUAAUGCCCCCUUGGCAAGUGGAGAUUGAUUAUGAGUGUUCAAUUCUUAAGACCACCCUCCAAGAGUUCUUACAAAAAGUGGGUUGCUAAAGCAGUAGAGACAUCACCAGAGAAAAGUCUCCUGACAUCCCCUUAAGUAUUGUGACAAAGUCAAUGAACAGAGGAGAUCCUCCCAGCAGGAAGGUCCUGGAGCAUCCAGAUAGACUGACUAGGAAGCUACUCCAUGGCAAGAGAAGGGAGUCACCAGAGAGACAGGUCUCACCAUUCCUGUUUGCCAGCCUGCAGGAUGUUGCUUUGUCCUCUGUAACCCAUUUCUAAAUGUGGCAGAGCCUGGCUCCUCUUCCUUCUCUACCAACUUCUUCUUUCGAUAUAAGGGCUACCAUCUUAUUUCUAGCUUUAAGUAAGUCUUGUAUUCCUCUAUCUGCUUAACAACUCAACUAUAGCAAUCAUACAUAUAACCUAGAGAAAGUGAAAAGCCCAUUAUCACACAGGAACCAUCUCUCCUCUCUAAUCCUUAAGGGGCCUGGCAAAAGCCCAUACCCAUGUAUAUAAAAGAGCUGUCAUUUAAGGUAAGUGUAACCACAAAGACAGACAUGAAACAAAAAAGAUUU